ACUUAUUGUAGCUCAGCAGAACAUGGAGGAAAAUAUAUUUACACUUUUGACGAAUUGCAAAUUUUUAGAUUCGCAAGAUGACUACAUUGAUAAAACUUUAUCUAUAAAAAUAUAUCAAAAGAUUUACCUGGAGAAAAAUCGAUUCCUUUACGUGUUCAUCUGGAUCGAAGUCAACUCUUCAUCUCAUAUUUCCAAGGUUUAGUAAAUUCGGAUCCUGAUAAAUUGAACUCAUUCUUCAUCUAAUUAUUGAUUCCACCACUGGAAUGGAUCGGUCUUCUUGUUCCUCAUCCAGUAAUGGAUUGGAAAAGGAAAAAAUGAGAGCGAAAAAAAAAAAUACAUUUGUACAGUCAUCAGUUUAUUUGAUAAAUUACCAUUCUAUAAAGAGUGUGAUCAACUCAAUAUAUUUCACUUCCGUGCAUUUUUUAUUGUGGAUCUUGCCCAAUCUAAAUUUAAUACUUCUCUUAUUCUGCUAAUCUGUGACGUAGUAGAGGAAGGUAGGAUAAAGUGGCCAGAGCAGGUAAAGUGGCCAUUGGAUAUUACUGCUCUAUACUCUUCAG
RNAcentral lists this long non-coding RNA (557 nucleotides) under Androctonus crassicauda. The record is from RNAcentral. Lineage: Eukaryota; Metazoa; Arthropoda; Arachnida; Scorpiones; Buthidae.